UACGGGGGGGGCAAGCGUUGUUCGGAAUUACUGGGCGUAAAGGGUCUGUAGGUGGCCAACUAAGUCAGACGUGAAAUCCCUCAGCUUAACCGGGGAACUGCGUCUGAUACUGGUUGGCUUGAGUGCAGGAGAGGAAUGCGGAAUUCCAGGUGUAGCGGUGAAAUGCGUAGAUAUCAGGAGGAACACCGGUGGCGAAGGCGGAUCUCUGGGCCUUACCUGACGCUCAGGCACGAAAGCUAGGGGAGCGAACAGG
RNAcentral lists this ribosomal RNA (253 nucleotides) under uncultured bacterium. RNAcentral's name for it is "partial 16S ribosomal RNA". It matches the Rfam family "Bacterial small subunit ribosomal RNA", at positions 524 to 776 of the family's 1533-position model. The record is from RNAcentral.